AAACCCUCUCCCUCUUCCUCUUCCUCUUCCCUCUUCUUCUCCCUCUUCCUCUCCUUCUUCCUCUCCUUCUUUCUCUUCCCUCUUCUUCGUCGCCGGCGAACCCAACCCUGCGCCGUCGCCGCCGCCGCUGUCCACUCCGGUGGCCCAAAGAGGGAGAGAAAGGGAAGGGAAAGAGAAAUAUUUUGGAGGGAUAUAUUUGUGAGGGUAAAAAAGUCAUUUCACAAGAAAACUGUUAAAAAAUUAACAGUUUUCUAACAGAUUUCAACCAGAUGGACAUAUCUGCAUAAUUUAGGACUUUUGUAGGGACAACUUAUGAAAUUUCUGUUUUGCAGGGAUAUUUCUGUAAUUCACUAUGUUUGCAGGGACGUGUAUGCAAAUAACUUUUUUGUUUAAAUAUUAACUGGAUUAAAAUUCGUGUGCCAAAAAGUGAUUAAAACUAUUAAAACUAUAGAAUUAUCUAUGAAUUUUAUAUUCUUAUUAGUGUAGUGACCCGUGCGAUGCGGCGGUACGUAGAUAUAUUCUUUUAAAAUUUAAAUUCUAAAUUUUAGAUUCUUAUACUUCUAUAAGUUAUUUUGUAGAGAGUAGAACACAUUUACUUUAACAAUUUUAGUAAUUUUAAAGUAUAUUGAAAACUAUGAACUUUUUUUUUUUGAACAUUCCAAUUUUUAACACUUAAGCAUCACGAUAGGUAUCAAACAACUUCUUUGCUGACGACUUUAUAUAGAUAUCUUAUUAUAUAGGUAGUGACGUGUAGGUUUAACAGAAACAACAGAAAAUAUAUUUAUCAAACAAAUUUCAACAUAUUUAUUAGAUUACGGUAAGUAUUGUGUUAGGCUGCGUAAUAAUUAAUCAUUUCAAAUAUUCUAAACCCUAAUAUAAAUAAAUCUAUCAAAAUUUCCAACACAAUCAAAUCAUUAUAUAAUGGAGACAAUAUGAUUUGUAAACCAAAAUAAACAUAAAAUUAUAGAGAGUAUUUUUUUUAAAAAAAUUGAAUUUUCUUGGAAUCAAAUAGAAAACUAAAAAU
Molecule: long non-coding RNA, 1024 nt
Filed under: Ananas comosus (pineapple)
Lineage: Eukaryota; Viridiplantae; Streptophyta; Magnoliopsida; Poales; Bromeliaceae
Description: long non-coding RNA (ACOM_LNC029626)
Source: RNAcentral